Molecule: ribosomal RNA, 497 nt
Filed under: uncultured bacterium
Lineage: Bacteria
Description: partial 16S ribosomal RNA
Rfam family: Bacterial small subunit ribosomal RNA
Source: RNAcentral
GAUGAACGCUGGCGGCGUGCCUAAUACAUGCAAGUCGAGCGAACGGACGAGAAGCUUGCUUCUCUGAUGUUAGCGGCGGACGGGUGAGUAACACGUGGAUAACCUACCUAUAAGACUGGGAUAACUUCGGGAAACCGGAGCUAAUACCGGAUAAUAUUUUGAACCGCAUGGUUCAAAAGUGAAAGACGGUCUUGCUGUCACUUAUGGAUGGAUCCGCGCUGCAUUAGCUAGUUGGUAAGGUAACGGCUUACCAAGGCAACGAUGCAUAGCCGACCUGAGAGGGUGAUCGGCCACACUGGAACUGAGACACGGUCCAGACUCCUACGGGAGGCAGCAGUAGGGAAUCUUCCGCAAUGGGCGAAAGCCUGACGGAGCAACGCCGCGUGAGUGAUGAAGGUCUUCGGAUCGUAAAACUCUGUUAUUAGGGAAGAACAUAUGUGUAAGUAACUGUGCGCAUCUUGACGGUACCUAAUCAGAAAGCCACGGCUAACUACGUG